UACAGAGGGGGCAAGCGUUGUUCGGAAUUACUGGGCGUAAAGGGCGCGUAGGCGGCCCGCUAAGUCGAACGUGAAAUCCCCGGGCUCAACCCGGGAACUGCGUCCGAUACUGGUGGGCUCGAAUCCGGGAGAGGGAUGCGGAAUUCCAGGUGUAGCGGUGAAAUGCGUAGAGAUCGGAAGGAACGUCAAUGGCGAAGGCAGCCACCUGGCAUAAUACUGACGCUGAGGCGCGAAAGCGUGGGGAGCGAACAGG
Molecule: ribosomal RNA, 253 nt
Filed under: uncultured bacterium
Lineage: Bacteria
Description: partial 16S ribosomal RNA
Rfam family: Bacterial small subunit ribosomal RNA
Source: RNAcentral